RNAcentral lists this ribosomal RNA (119 nucleotides) under Pteropus alecto (black flying fox). The record is from RNAcentral. Lineage: Eukaryota; Metazoa; Chordata; Mammalia; Chiroptera; Pteropodidae. RNAcentral also lists the same sequence under 1 other name.
GUGUACGGCCAUACCAUCCUCAACAAGCCCGAUCCUGUCUGAUCUCAGAAGCUAAGCAGGGUCGGGCCUGGUUAGUACUUGGAUGGGAGACCACCUAGGAAGACCAGGUGCUGUAGGCA